This 65-nucleotide transfer RNA is filed under the name Phloeosinus perlatus. RNAcentral describes it as "tRNA-Ser". Lineage: Eukaryota; Metazoa; Arthropoda; Insecta; Coleoptera; Curculionidae. The record is from RNAcentral.
AGUUAAUGAGCUUGAUAAAGCAUUUACUUUGAAAGUAAAAAAAAGAAAUAAACUUUUCUAUUAAC